GACGAACGAUGGCGGCGUGCCUAAUACAUGCAAGUGGGACGCAAGGAAACACACUGUGCUUGCACACCGUGUUUUCUUGAGUCGCGAACGGGUGAGUAACGCGUAGGAAACCUGCCUGUUAGCGGGGGAUAACUAUUGGAAACGAUAGCUAAUACCGCAUAAUAUUAAUUAUUGCAUGAUAAUUGAUUGAAAGAUGCAAGCGCAUCACUAGUAGAUGGACCUGCGUUGUAUUAGCUAGUUGGUAAGGUAAGAGCUUACCAAGGCGACGAUACAUAGCCGACCUGAGAGGGUGAUCGGCCACACUGGGACUGGGACACGGCCCAGACUCCUACGGGAGGCAGCAGUAGGGAAUCUUCGGCAAUGGACGAAAGUCUGACCGAGCAACGCCGCGUGAGUGAAGAAGGUUUUCGGAUCGUAAAGCUCUGUUGUAAGUCAAGAACGUGUGUGAGAGUGGAAAGUUCACACAGUGACGGUAGCUUACCAGAAAGGGACGGCUAACUACGUG
Molecule: ribosomal RNA, 505 nt
Filed under: uncultured bacterium
Lineage: Bacteria
Description: partial 16S ribosomal RNA
Rfam family: Bacterial small subunit ribosomal RNA
Source: RNAcentral